Molecule: ribosomal RNA, 427 nt
Filed under: uncultured bacterium
Lineage: Bacteria
Description: partial 16S ribosomal RNA
Rfam family: Bacterial small subunit ribosomal RNA
Source: RNAcentral
UGGGGAAUAUUGCACAAUGGGCGCAAGCCUGAUGCAGCCAUGCCGCGUGUAUGAAGAAGGCCUUCGGGUUGUAAAGUACUUUCAGCGAGGAGGAAGGCGUUGUGGUUAAUAACCGCAGCGAUCGACGUUACUCGCAGAAGAAGCACCGGCUAACUCCGUGCCAGCAGCCGCGGUAAUACGGAGGGUGCAAGCGUUAAUCGGAAUUACUGGGCGUAAAGCGCACGCAGGCGGUCUGUCAAGUCGGAUGUGAAAUCCCCGGGCUCAACCUGGGAACUGCAUCCGAAACUGGCAGGCUAGAGUCUUGUAGAGGGGGGUAGAAUUCCAGGUGUAGCGGUGAAAUGCGUAGAGAUCUGGAGGAAUACCGGUGGCGAAGGCGGCCCCCUGGACAAAGACUGACGCUCAGGUGCGAAAGCGUGGGGAGCAAACA